This 376-nucleotide ribosomal RNA is filed under the name uncultured bacterium. Its description in RNAcentral is "bacterial SSU rRNA". It matches the Rfam family "Bacterial small subunit ribosomal RNA", at positions 524 to 898 of the family's 1533-position model. The record is from RNAcentral.
GACGGACCAUCCAAACGUUAUUCGGAAUUACUGGGCUUAAAGGGUGCGUAGGCGGCGCGGAAAGUUCGGUGUGAAAUCCCUCGGCUUAACCGAGGAAUGGCGCUGAAUACUACCGUGCUCGAGGAAGACAGAGGUAAGCGGAACAGCGGGUGGAGCGGUGAAAUGCGUUGAUAUCCGCUGGAACACCGGUGGCGAAAGCGGCUUACUGGGUCUUUUCUGACGCUGAGGCACGAAAGCUAGGGUAGCGAACGGGAUUAGAUACCCCGGUAGUCCUAGCCGUAAACGAUGAGCACUUGACGGGAGACUCCUCCAUAGGUUUCCGGUCGUAGCGAAAGUGAUAAGUGCUCCGCCUGGGGAGUAUGGCCGCAAGGCUGAA